GAUGAACGCUGGCGGCGUGCCUAAUACAUGCAAGUCGAGCGAACGGACGAGAAGCUUGCUUCUCUGAUGUUAGCGGCGGACGGGUGAGUAACACGUGGAUAACCUACCUAUAAGACUGGGAUAACUUCGGGAAACCGGAGCUAAUACCGGAUGAUAUUUUGAACCGCAUGGUUCAAAAGUGAAAGACGGUCUUGCUGUCACUUAUAGAUGGAUCCGCGCUGCAUUAGCUAGUUGGUAAGGUAACGGCUUACCAAGGCAACGAUGCAUAGCCGACCUGAGAGGGUGAUCGGCCACACUGGAACUGAGACACGGUCCAGACUCCUACGGGAGGCAGCAGUAGGGAAUCUUCCGCAAUGGGCGAAAGCCUGACGGAGCAACGCCGCGUGAGUGAUGAAGGUCUUCGGAUCGUAAAACUCUGUUAUUAGGGAAGAACAUAUGUGUAAGUAACUGUGCACAACUUGACGGUACCUAAUCAGAAAGCAACGGCUAACUACGUG
This 497-nucleotide ribosomal RNA is filed under the name uncultured bacterium. RNAcentral's name for it is "partial 16S ribosomal RNA". It matches the Rfam family "Bacterial small subunit ribosomal RNA", at positions 28 to 507 of the family's 1533-position model. The record is from RNAcentral.